GCCGUCUUAGCUCAGUUGGCAGAGCAAGUGACUCUUAAUCACACGGUCGAGGGUUCGAUCCCCCCAGACGGUA
Molecule: transfer RNA, 73 nt
Organism: Selaginella moellendorffii
Lineage: Eukaryota; Viridiplantae; Streptophyta; Lycopodiopsida; Selaginellales; Selaginellaceae
Rfam family: tRNA
About the family: Transfer RNA (tRNA) molecules are approximately 80 nucleotides in length. Their secondary structure includes four short double-helical elements and three loops (D, anti-codon, and T loops). Further hydrogen bonds mediate the characteristic L-shaped molecular structure. tRNAs have two regions of fundamental functional importance: the anti-codon, which is responsible for specific mRNA codon recognition, and the 3' end, to which the tRNAs corresponding amino acid is attached (by aminoacyl-tRNA synthetases). tRNAs cope with the degeneracy of the genetic code in two manners: having more than one tRNA (with a specific anti-codon) for a particular amino acid; and 'wobble' base-pairing, i.e. permitting non-standard base-pairing at the 3rd anti-codon position.
Source: Rfam